ACAUUAUCUCCAGCCAUUGCUUCAUCCAAAAUCUUCUGAAACAUAUCAACCCCAGUCACGGUGGUCGUCCUAGUAUCCCUUAAUCCUACAAUAUCAACGGUAUCUCCAAUCCUAACAGUCCCUCUCUCUACCCUCCCUGUAGCCACUGUACCUCUACCAGCAAUCGAAAACACAUCUUCAAUAGCCAUCAAGAAAGGCAACUCAGUUUGUCUUACUGGAAUAGGAAUAUAACUAUCAACAUUAUCCAUUAACUCAUAAAUCUUAUCAACCCAUUGAUUUUCACCUCUCUUAAUACUAGGAUUCGCCAUUAACGCCUCUAAAGCCAAAAGAGCAGAACCCGAAACAAUCAGAAUGACACGUGGUGUGGCAUAACUCAGGGAUGAAAUACACGUGGUGUGGCAAGGAAACAGAAGAAAAAUGUGGACAUAACAAGAUUUACCAUCACGAAUGACAUCAAACAGAAACUAUUUGAAGAAAUGUUUCUCUAUAAUUCGUGAGUCUCAAUAACAGUUGUGCAUGUUUGACAAAACAAAAUGACAGCAAAGCUGCAGUUGAUAGGGGCCCAUAAGAAAAAGCUCACUUCAACGGCUCGACUUACACCAAUUAAAACAGUAAAUAUCAAACUAUAUUUAACAAAUUACAUGCAAUGAUUUGAUAUUCACCAGAUCUUACAAAUCCAUUAUUUGUCCAGAAAGACAUAACUAAAACUGUCAAAUCCAGAGGCAUCAAACACAGUCAUUCAUUGACUCAGCCUAGUAAAACCUCCAUGCUAGUUACAAUAUCCAGCGACAACAUCUUUGAAGCACAGUUAAAGCAACAAACAUGAAAAUGACAGCCAAUGUGAGCAUCUUUCAAGCAUUAUUACAGGAACCUAUGUAGCUCAGACUCUUCAAAAAUGUCAUCGAGAGUCCGAGCAACUUAGACGGGAACAAGCACGAAGGACGACACAACAGACAAUCUCAUUCUGAGGUUAAUAAGCAAUAGGUAAAUGACAUUAUUUUGUCGGGUAACUUCUCAGUAGGUCAUCUAAAUACAUAAGACCAAUGUUGACAAGUUCUGACAUAGAACCAACUGGCCAUUCACAGAUAGUUCUACUCAGGGAUUAUAGACAACAACUGAGAAUAACAAUUAAGCAUCACUAAACAAAUUCUAAUGAGAUUCUACUACAUACUACUCACACGGUGAUCUCAUGUCCAUCAAUUCUAGUUUCUAAACAGCAUAUUUGGUUUAAAAUAAAAUAUCUCGGUUUUCUUUUUCUUUUCUUUUCUUUUUUGGGUGUUGCCUAACAGCAUCAAUUCGUCAAAACAAACAUCAAACGCACCUAUAACUUCAUUGGCAUGUUAAAGUUGAGUUUCAAACAAAAGUAUGAUUUUUUCCCGAGGGAAACUAAAGGUACACAAGAUACAAAUGUUCUUCUCCCUUUCAAACAAAUGAAAACUGAAGCACGAAACUAAAGCAAUCUCACAAAGGUGCACACUAGCAUUGACUUAUAACAAGAUUUCUCCAACUAACCUAGGAUCUAAAAGAAAAAAGGUAACCAGAAAGUUGCAUAUAUGACAAGGAAUUAAAAAUAUUGCAUGACAGGGGCCGGACCACUUUGAAGGGAAAUGCACAGCUGCUCAUUGAUCACUCAAUAAUUUUCUGAAUGACGCCAGCUCCAACAGUCUUUCCUCCUUCCCUGAUGGCAAAUCUCAUCCCUUGCUCACAAGCCACGGGCAUAAUGAGCUCAACCACCAAGUUCACACGAUCACCAGGCAUGACCAUCUUAGAUUCUUCUCCUUUGUCAGUGGUAAUGGAAGUAACCUUCCCGGUCACAUCGGUUGUCCUCAUAUAAAACUGAGGCCUGUAACCCGAAAAGAACGGGGAAUGCCUGCCACCCUCCUCCUUUUUCAGGACAUACACAAGAGCUUCAAACUUGGUGUGAGGAGUGAUCGUUCCAGGUUUUGCCAACACCAUUCCUCUCUGAAUAUCAACCUUCUGAAUACCUCUCAACAAUAACCCCACAUUAUCUCCAGCCAUUGCUUCAUCCAAAAUCUUCUGAAACAUCUCAACCCCAGUCACGGUAGUCGUCCUAGUAUCCCUUAAUCCUACAAUAUCAACGGUAUCUCCAAUCCUAACAGUCCCUCUUUCCACCCUCCCCGUAGCCACUGUACCUCUACC
RNAcentral lists this long non-coding RNA (2160 nucleotides) under Capsicum annuum. Its description in RNAcentral is "long non-coding RNA (CANN_LNC004153)". The record is from RNAcentral. Lineage: Eukaryota; Viridiplantae; Streptophyta; Magnoliopsida; Solanales; Solanaceae.